This is a long non-coding RNA of Vicia villosa (hairy vetch), 1156 nucleotides long. RefSeq lists it as uncharacterized. The record is from RefSeq and is a predicted model, not a curated record. Lineage: Eukaryota; Viridiplantae; Streptophyta; Magnoliopsida; Fabales; Fabaceae. The transcript has 3 exons.
GUAAUUCAAGGAGCUGAGUGAAUCACUGACGUUUGUUGAAUGAGGGUGAACACACCAGAGAAUGAAACGAAGGAUAUCCGACAUGAGUGGAUUAUUAGAGUUUUUGAAGUUUUGGAGAUUCAGUGCAGAGCAGUAAAGGUCAAGGACCCUGGAAAGACCCUUUCCCCAGGUGUGUCAAGACGAAGUAUCAGAUUAGACGUGUUGCUUGAGAGUUAAGGUUUCUAAUCAUGUGUAGUGGGAUGCAAGCGUUUUGGCAGAUUAUGUUUCUUCGUAUGGAAUGACCAUCAAACAGAGUAGAGAGAUUAUCUAAAGAGGAAUGUGAGUAACGUUCUUCCCUUUGAUUGGAUAGAUAUGAAGAGUUGGUUUUCAUGGUGAACGGAAGGAAUUCGAGGAAGAAUUCUAUUUAAGGGGGGGAGAAUGUAAUACCCCGACUCUCCAACACCGGUAAUUAUCAUUAAAUUGGUUAAUUGAUAAUUAAAAUGCACUUUGGUCUUAGUCCAUAUCAUUUAAGCACAAUUGUAUUAGAAGUCUUAAGAGAAAGCAAUGGAAUUGGUUGGAAUUGAACUAAGUGGCAUUUAUGUAAAUACCACUUAGUUAAAGGGCACAUUGGACCUUAAAUGAUAUUUUCAUGGACUUAAAGUAUGGUUAGUAGAGAUAACCAUUCCAAAUCAGAAUUUUGGAGAAGAGAGAGCAUAGGAACAUGGAAAGAAAGAAGUUCAUCAUCUUCAUAUCUCCAUUUUCGCAACCCUUGAUACAGCUCCACUAAAUCAGCUUCUGUUUUGAAGGAGAAAAACGAGUUUGAAGUUGGGACAUGCAUGCUGAAUGUGAUGAAGAAUGGGCUACGGGUUUGAUGAGUUUGGAGUUGGAGUUUUGGUCAAGAUAGGAACUCAAUUGCAGCAUGUUCACCAUCUAAACCUCUAUUAAUCCAAGGUGCAGUUAGUAGCGUUUGGUCAGUAACAGGUUUGGACUGAAGACUUGGAAGUGGUGUUGGCUCGAAGACCUCGUUGGUUUUGACAUUCCGCUGUGCAAGAUCCAUUGAAGACUCAUGUAUUAUGCUUCUUAGUAGAAUUUCAUGUUGUAUUUUAUAUGGAUCUUUCUAUAACUAUAGCUUUUGUAUGUACUCAAUAUCAAUUUUAACGUUUCAUGCAUAAUAUAC